Molecule: microRNA precursor, 187 nt
Filed under: Oryza punctata
Lineage: Eukaryota; Viridiplantae; Streptophyta; Magnoliopsida; Poales; Poaceae
Description: MIR812 microRNA precursor family
Rfam family: MIR812 microRNA precursor family
Source: Rfam by way of RNAcentral
UUCAAGAGCAGUUAUAAAUUUUCGUGUUUGAUCAUUUAUCUUAUUUAAAUUUUUUUAUGAUUAGGAUUUUUAUUAUUAUUAGAUAAUAAAAACUUUAUGCGUUACUUAUGUUUUUAAAUUUUCUCAAAAUAAUUUUAAAUAAGACGGAUGAUUAAAAUUAGAUAUGGAAAGUUAUGUUGUGCUUAAA